This 72-nucleotide antisense RNA is filed under the name Dichelobacter nodosus. RNAcentral describes it as "R1162-like plasmid antisense RNA". It matches the Rfam family "R1162-like plasmid antisense RNA". Rfam says of the family: The copy-number of the broad host-range plasmid R1162 is controlled by the amounts of two proteins, encoded by cotranscribed genes comprising a region of the plasmid called RepI. RepI is negatively regulated by a 75 base RNA that is complementary to a segment of the RepI message. Lineage: Bacteria; Pseudomonadati; Pseudomonadota; Gammaproteobacteria; Cardiobacteriales; Cardiobacteriaceae. The record is from Rfam by way of RNAcentral.
CGGCGCAUGGCGGGGCAUCCCCGCCAGCGCUUGACCAUCAACCGCCUGCAAAGGAGGCAAACCAAUGGCUAC